GGAGAAGCUCUUGAUCGAAGCCCCGGUAAACGGCGGCCGUAACUAUAACGGUCCUAAGGUAGCGAAAUUCCUUGUCGGGUAAGUUCCGACCUGCACGAAUGGUGUAACCAUGGCCACGCUGUCUCCACCCGAGACUCAGUGAAAUUGAAAUCGCAGUGAAGAUGCUGUGUACCCGCGGCUAGACGGAAAGACCCCGUGAACCUUUACUACAGCUUGGCACUGAACAUUGAACCUACAUGUGUAGGAUAGGUGGGAGACUUUGAAGCAGAGACGCUAGUUUUUGUGGAGUCGUCCUUGAAAUACCACCCUUGUAGUUUUGAUGUUCUAACGUUGGCCCCUGAAUCGGGGUUACGGACAGUGCCUGGUGGGUAGUUUGACUGGGGCGGUCUCCUCCCAAAGAGUAACGGAGGAGCACGAAGGUUGGCUAAGUACGGUCGGACAUCGUACGGUUAGUGUAAUGGUAGAAGCCAGCUUAACUGCGAGACAGACACGUCGAGCAGGUACGAAAGUAGGUCAUAGUGAUCCGGUGGUUCUGAAUGGAAGGGCCAUCGCUCAACGGAUAAAAGGUACUCCGGGGAUAACAGGCUGAUACCGCCCAAGAGUUCAUAUCGACGGCGGUGUUUGGCACCUCGAUGUCGGCUCAUCACAUCCUGGGGCUGAAGUCGGUCCCAAGGGUAUGGCUGUUCGCCAUUUAAAGUGGUACGCGAGCUGGGUUUAGAACGUCGUGAGACAGUUCGGUCCCUAUCUGCCGUGGGCGUUUGAGAAUUGAGAGGGGUUGCUCCUAGUACGAGAGGACCGGAGUGAACGAACCGCUGGUGUUCGGGUUGUCAUGCCAAUGGCAUUGCCCGGUAGCUACGUUCGGAACUGAUAAGCGCUGAAAGCAUCUAAGCGCGAAGCAGGCCUCGAGAUGAUUUCUCACUAGACUUUUAAAGUCUCUGAAGGGCCGUUGAAGACUACAACGUUGAUAGGCAAGAUGUGGAAGUGGUGUGAGCCAUUAAGCUAACUUGUACUAAUUACCCGUGAGGCUUAACCAU
This 1034-nucleotide ribosomal RNA is filed under the name Pseudoalteromonas carrageenovora. Its description in RNAcentral is "partial 23S ribosomal RNA". It matches the Rfam family "Bacterial large subunit ribosomal RNA", at positions 1898 to 2925 of the family's 2925-position model. Lineage: Bacteria; Pseudomonadati; Pseudomonadota; Gammaproteobacteria; Alteromonadales; Pseudoalteromonadaceae. The record is from RNAcentral.